This 240-nucleotide ribosomal RNA is filed under the name uncultured Pseudomonas sp. Its description in RNAcentral is "partial 16S ribosomal RNA". It matches the Rfam family "Bacterial small subunit ribosomal RNA", at positions 1142 to 1382 of the family's 1533-position model. Lineage: Bacteria; Pseudomonadati; Pseudomonadota; Gammaproteobacteria; Pseudomonadales; Pseudomonadaceae. The record is from RNAcentral.
AAGGAGACUGCCGGUGACAAACCGGAGGAAGGUGGGGAUGACGUCAAGUCAUCAUGGCCUUACGGCCUGGGCUACACACGUGCUACAAUGGUCGGUACAAAGGGUUGCCAAGCCGCGAGGUGGAGCUAAUCCCAUAAAACCGAUCGUAGUCCGGAUCGCAGUCUGCAACUCGACUGCGUGAAGUCGGAAUCGCUAGUAAUCGUGAAUCAGAAUGUCACGGUGAAUACGUUCCCGGGCCUU